This is a long non-coding RNA of Aedes aegypti (yellow fever mosquito), 799 nucleotides long. RefSeq lists it as uncharacterized. Lineage: Eukaryota; Metazoa; Arthropoda; Insecta; Diptera; Culicidae. The record is from RefSeq and is a predicted model, not a curated record. The transcript has 3 exons.
UUCAGUGUUCCGUCUUUGUCAUGCCGCUCGAUAUUUGCAGUUUAAAUGGACUCCUCAUCGUAACACUUGUUGCCAGUCCAGUCGUCCAACAUGAAGAUAAUAUAUUUGUUUUCGAUUUUAUUCAUUCACAGCUGCUAUUUGCUGCAAGGAGCACACACCCUCCCUAUGCCUGCUCCUCAAUUCCUGGAAGAAAACAUUUGUGGGCUUCCGUUAGAGCCGGAACGUUGUUUGUGUAAAACGCAAGAUGACGUUUCAGAAUGCGAAUAUUUUUCGUGAAAGAGCAGUAAUGUGAGUGGAUAAAGCGCCCCCAAUCGCAUUAUUUUUGCCUUUGGUAGAACAAAAUAAUUUUUCAUGGAGAUUUGAUUCGCAUUAUUAAAAUGCUCAUAUGCACUGGCAGCCAUCAAUCAGAUUGGUUCGAAUAUUCGGAAUGGACCAUCGGAAAAAUCGCGUCAUACUUUGUUUUAUUCUGUUUUCCAGUUAUUUUGGGCUGAUUGAACCACAUAUUGAUUCAAACAAACAUCCCGAGAUGGUAUGCAAUCCGAAAGUUGUAUUCAAAGAUGAAUGUGGUAAUAUUUGCGUUUGUAAUCCACGAAGUGUCGCUCUAUGUGACGAUAAAGUUAUGAAGAGAUGUGGCAAAUAAUCGGUGACUAAGGCAAUCAACACACUUUUCAAUCCAAAUCAAAUAUACGGGAUUUCACAUGCUGCCGCUGCUUCGAACAAACUAGUGUCAUCCUCAGUGAAAACAACGCUAAACCUUCUCAUUAAUAAAGAAAUACAACAGCAAAACUUUUCGCUACAA